AAACUAUCUAAACAGAAAAGGUAUUCAUAUUAAAUUGCAUUAAAUGGUAUUGUAUUUCAUACAUACCCGUAUGUAAAAAUGACGUGGCGACAAUCGGUUAUAUCUUUGUGAUUUUAUGAAACGAAAGUGGAAAUUCUUCUUAACCAAAAGGACAACUUUUUUUUCAAAUUUUAAAGGAUGAACAUCUAUUGUUUGAAUUUGUUUGAUCCUUGUCCAGUCAAUUAGAUAAUUGUCCAGUCAAUGUGAACCUUAUGCAGUCUAGUUGCUAUUUAAGGUCUGUGGAAGUGCAAUUGAUAUUCUUGUGUUUGAAGGAAAAAAUCACACCCUGUUUGUAGAAUACCUCAUUUAGGUUAUAAUGGAAAAUUGGAAUGGGAAUCUUUGUACAGCUUCUAGGAAGGGAGAUAUAGAAGAUGUGAAAAUAUGCCUAGAGAAUAAAGCAGACAUUGAUUAUCAUGAUGU
Molecule: long non-coding RNA, 459 nt
Organism: Mytilus trossulus (common blue mussel)
Lineage: Eukaryota; Metazoa; Mollusca; Bivalvia; Mytilida; Mytilidae
Exons: 5
Source: RefSeq, a predicted model, not a curated record